Molecule: ribosomal RNA, 100 nt
Filed under: Taxus mairei
Lineage: Eukaryota; Viridiplantae; Streptophyta; Pinopsida; Cupressales; Taxaceae
Description: partial 5.8S ribosomal RNA
Rfam family: 5.8S ribosomal RNA
About the family: 5.8S ribosomal RNA (5.8S rRNA) is a component of the large subunit of the eukaryotic ribosome. It is transcribed by RNA polymerase I as part of the 45S precursor that also contains 18S and 28S rRNA. Functionally, it is thought that 5.8S rRNA may be involved in ribosome translocation.
Source: RNAcentral
UAAUGCAUUACUGUGUUAAAUGCCGAAUCCCCUGAAUCAUUGAGUCUUUGAACGCAGUUGCGCCCGAGGCCUCGGCCGAGGGCACGUCUGCUUGGGCGUC